Molecule: ribosomal RNA, 397 nt
Filed under: uncultured bacterium
Lineage: Bacteria
Description: bacterial SSU rRNA
Rfam family: Bacterial small subunit ribosomal RNA
Source: RNAcentral
UUUUGCGCAAUGGGCGAAAGCCUGACGCAGCAACGCCGCGUGCGGGAUGAAGGCCCUCGGGUUGUAAACCGCUUUCAGCAGGGAUGAGACUGACAGUACCUGCAGAAGAAGCCCCGGCUAACUACGUGCCAGCAGCCGCGGUAAUACGUAGGGGGCAAGCGUUACCCGGAUUUAUUGGGCGUAAAGCGCGUGUAGGCGGCUUGUUAAGUCAGAUGUGAAAACCGGGGGCUCAACCCGCGGCCUGCAUCUGAAACUGGCAGGCUUGAGUCUGGUAGAGGAAAGUGGAAUUCCUAGUGUAGCGGUGAAAUGCGCAGAUAUUAGGAGGAACACCAGUGGCGAAGGCGGCUUUCUGGGCCACGACUGACGCUGAGACGCGAAAGCUAGGGGAGCGAACAGG